Molecule: ribosomal RNA, 493 nt
Filed under: uncultured bacterium
Lineage: Bacteria
Description: partial 16S ribosomal RNA
Rfam family: Bacterial small subunit ribosomal RNA
Source: RNAcentral
AGUGAACGCUGGCGGUAGGCCUAACACAUGCAAGUCGAACGGCAGCACAGUAAGAGCUUGCUCUUACGGGUGGCGAGUGGCGGACGGGUGAGGAAUACAUCGGAAUCUACUUUUUCGUGGGGGAUAACGUAGGGAAACUUACGCUAAUACCGCAUACGACCUACGGGUGAAAGCAGGGGAUCUUCGGACCUUGCGCGAUUGAAUGAGCCGAUGUCGGAUUAGCUAGUUGGCGGGGUAAAGGCCCACCAAGGCGACGAUCCGUAGCUGGUCUGAGAGGAUGAUCAGCCACACUGGAACUGAGACACGGUCCAGACUCCUACGGGAGGCAGCAGUGGGGAAUAUUGGACAAUGGGCGCAAGCCUGAUCCAGCCAUACCGCGUGGGCGAAGAAGGCCUUCGGGUUGUAAAGCCCUUUUGUUGGGAAAGAAAAGCAGCAGGUUAAUACCCCGCUGUUCUGACGGUACCCAAAGAAUAAGCACCGGCUAACUUCGUGC